UGGCGGACGGGUGAGUAAUGUCUGGGAAACUGCCUGAUGGAGGGGGAUAACUACUGGAAACGGUAGCUAAUACCGCAUAACGUCGCAAGACCAAAGAGGGGGACCCUCGGGCCUCUUGCCAUCGGAUGUGCCCAGAUGGGAUUAGCUUGUUGGUGGGGUAACGGCUCACCUAGGCGACGAUCCCUAGCUGGUCUGAGAGGAUGACCAGCCACACUGGAACUGAGACACGGUCCAGACUCCUACGGGAGGCAGCAUG
This 256-nucleotide ribosomal RNA is filed under the name uncultured bacterium. RNAcentral's name for it is "partial 16S ribosomal RNA". It matches the Rfam family "Bacterial small subunit ribosomal RNA", at positions 96 to 353 of the family's 1533-position model. The record is from RNAcentral.